GGGGCUGUAGCUAAGUGGCAGAGCACUUGCCUUGCAGGUGUGAGACCCUGAGUUCGAUCCUCAGCACCUCA
Ictidomys tridecemlineatus (thirteen-lined ground squirrel) is the source of this 71-nucleotide non-coding RNA. NCBI's taxonomy places the organism in Eukaryota, Metazoa, Chordata, Mammalia, Rodentia, Sciuridae. The record is from Rfam.